GAUGAACGCUAGCUACAGGCUUAACACAUGCAAGUCGAGGGGAAACGACAUCGAAAGCUUGCUUUUGAUGGGCGUCGACCGGCGCACGGGUGAGUAACGCGUAUCCAACCUGCCCAUCACUUGGGAAUAUCCUUGCGAAAGUAAGACUAAUACCCAAUGAUAUCCCACGAAGGCAUCGGAAUGGGAUUAAAGAUUUAUCGGUGAUGGAUGGGGAUGCGUCUGAUUAGCUUGUUGGCGGGGUAACGGCCCACCAAGGCAACGAUCAGUAGGGGUUCUGAGAGGAAGGUCCCCCACAUUGGAACUGAGACACGGUCCAAACUCCUACGGGAGGCAGCAGUGAGGAAUAUUGGUCAAUGGGCGAGAGCCUGAACCAGCCAAGUAGCGUGCAGGAAGACGGCCCUAUGGGUUGUAAACUGCUUUUAUAAGGGAAUAAAGUGGGUCACGUGUGACUUUUUGCAUGUACCUUAUGAAUAAGGACCGGCUAAUUCCGUG
This 492-nucleotide ribosomal RNA is filed under the name uncultured bacterium. RNAcentral's name for it is "partial 16S ribosomal RNA". It matches the Rfam family "Bacterial small subunit ribosomal RNA", at positions 28 to 507 of the family's 1533-position model. The record is from RNAcentral.